Molecule: ribosomal RNA, 440 nt
Filed under: uncultured bacterium
Lineage: Bacteria
Description: bacterial SSU rRNA
Rfam family: Bacterial small subunit ribosomal RNA
Source: RNAcentral
CCUANGGGUGGCUGCAGUGGGGAAUCUUGGACAAUGGGCGCAAGCCUGAUCCAGCCAUGCCGCGUGAGUGAAGAAGGCCUUCGGGUUGUAAAGCUCUUUUACCAGGGACGCUAAUGACGGUACCUGGAGAAUAAGCCCCGGCAAACUUCGUGCCAGCAGCCGCGGUAAUACGAAGGGGGCUAGCGUUGUUCGGAAUUACUGGGCGUAAAGCGCACGUAGGCGGAUUGUUAAGUCAGAGGUGAAAUCCCGGAGCUCAACUUCGGAACUGCCUUUGAUACUGGCAAUCUCGAGUCCGGAAGAGGUUAGUGGAAUUCCCAGUGUAGAGGUGAAAUUCGUAGAUAUUGGGAAGAACACCAGUGGCGAAGGCGGCUAACUGGUCCGGUACUGACGCUGAGGUGCGAAAGCGUGGGGAGCAAACAGGAUUAGAUACCCGGNUANUC